GACGAACGCUGGCGGCGUGCUUAACACAUGCAAGUCGAACGAAGAGCGAUGGAAGCUUGCUUCUAUCAAUCUUAGUGGCGAACGGGUGAGUAACGCGUAAUCAACCUGCCCUUCAGAGGGGGACAACAGUUGGAAACGACUGCUAAUACCGCAUACGAUCUAAUCUCGGCAUCGAGGAAAGAUGAAAGGUGGCCUCUAUUUAUAAGCUAUCACUGAAGGAGGGGAUUGCGUCUGAUUAGCUAGUUGGAGGGGUAACGGCCCACCAAGGCGAUGAGCAGUAGCCGGUCUGAGAGGAUGAACGGCCACAUUGGGACUGAGACACGGCCCAGACUCCGACGGGAGGCAGCAGUGGGGAAUCUUCCGCAAUGGACGAAAGUCUGACGGAGCAACGCCGCGUGAGUGAUGACGGCCUUCGGGUUGUAAAGCUCUGUUAAUCGGGACGAAAGGCCUUCUUGCGAACAGUUAGAAGGAUUGACGGUACCGGAAUAGAAAGCCACGGCUAACUACGUG
This 510-nucleotide ribosomal RNA is filed under the name uncultured bacterium. RNAcentral describes it as "partial 16S ribosomal RNA". It matches the Rfam family "Bacterial small subunit ribosomal RNA", at positions 28 to 507 of the family's 1533-position model. The record is from RNAcentral.